This is a long non-coding RNA of Chinchilla lanigera (long-tailed chinchilla), 1362 nucleotides long. RefSeq lists it as uncharacterized. The transcript has 3 exons. The record is from RefSeq and is a predicted model, not a curated record. Lineage: Eukaryota; Metazoa; Chordata; Mammalia; Rodentia; Chinchillidae.
CCUGGAACUUUUCCUAGCGCCCGGUGGAUUGGGUGUCUGGAAAAGGGGAGCAGCGCUUCCUUCUGGCCCCUCAAGGACCCCAACCCAGGACCAGGUCUUACUACAUUGCUGAGUUGCCCACACUGGGUUCAAACUUGCACUCCUCCUGCCUCAGCCUCCCGGAGUCCUGGAAUUAUAGUGCCUCAGCCAAGAGGAAAGACCAAGCUGUCCGGGCCUCCACCCUUUCCUCCUCUCUGUCGCUGAAUUGGAAAGUUAGUUGAUGUGGAAUAAUUUUGCCUGUUCAUUUAAAAAAGUGAUUGUGUCCUGUUCCUAGCGUCCAUGAACAACAAAUGCAUUCACUUGUCUAUCCCAUAUGAUUCCUUUCGUGCAGAGAACCCCAAGGCACAGGUAAUAUCCUAAAACAAGGGAAGGUCUGUUUAUGAGCUGCAUUGUGUUCUUACCCUCCACAUUGAUAGGGUGAAGCCCUAAGCUCCAGCGCCUCAGGACAGGAGACAGGGCCAUUAAAGAGCACCUAAGAUAAGGCUGCCAGGGUGCGUCCUAAUCCAAUCUGACUGGCAUCUCACAAAAGAAGAAAUUUAGGGCUGGGGCUGUAGCUCAGCGGUAGGGGGCGUGCCUAGCCUGCACGAAGACCCAUGUGAGGACACAGCAAGAAGGCGGCCAUCUGCAGGUGACAGAGAGGGUCUUCGUGAGAGGUCAAACCCGCCAGCACCUUGGUCUUGGACUUUAGAAUUGUGAGAAAAUCCGUUGCGGUUGCUGAAGCUGCCCACGCUGUGAUACUUUAUUACAGCAGCCGGAGCAGACAAACACAGCCUCCAGCGCUACAGUUUCAGACACCGAUUUAGCCACUGUGAUGUUAUGGGAGGGGGAAGGGAGGGAGAAGUUUCCUCACUGUCCAUAUCCCUCUGAAGUGCAGGCUGGCUUGACAGAUGACUCAGUGAGCCGGGCCUCGGGUGUGGUCCCUGUCACCUCCCCGUGCUCCUCUCUUCAGGGUGUCAUUUCUGAGGGUUGCAAGUCCUUCCGCUCAGGAACGAGUCUGAGGCCAGGCAGUGCCCAUCUGCUGAGACUCCAGACUUUUGCAGAUGCCUGGGUAGAAAUGUUGCAGCAGAAAAUGCUCCCCCGCCAGGUACUUCAGUUGCUUAGUUGCCCAGGUAACAGUUCCUGUUCCAGUUGCUUCUGUCUCUUAGAAAUGGCUGAUCACUGUGAUGCACAAUGUAUAAACCGAUCCCCACCGACAAGCCAUUCUGCCUCUGUACAUCCUGCUUGCUUAUCCCAUAGAACCCCUACACCACCAGGGAUCGGGUCCUGAUAUUUUGGGAGUGAUCCCAAUCAGUGCCUGUCGAUGUAAAUAAAUCUGCCUCCAGA